GAACCACUUCAACUUCCUCUUUUGCCUCGAACUCUAUUGAUAAAUUUCGGAGAUUGAUCAAUUUCCGGACUGCAUCGGUUUUAAUUAGAUGCUCUGCUUGUACACACUUCAAAGUCUCCAGGUGUCUUAAUUUUUCCAAUCUAGCCUGCCUUAAAGAAUAACUAUACCCUAAUAGAUGUCUCAAGCAUUCUAAUUUUGAUAAUGCAGCGGGUAAUAUAAUCAUGUAAUUAUUGCGUAAAUCAAGAGUAUAUAAACUCCGCAGAUUACCU
This 269-nucleotide unclassified non-coding RNA is filed under the name Hevea brasiliensis (rubber tree). The record is from RNAcentral. Lineage: Eukaryota; Viridiplantae; Streptophyta; Magnoliopsida; Malpighiales; Euphorbiaceae.